CGGCGGCGAUGGCGCAGGCCGGCGCCGACGUGCUGGUACCGCACCUCGGGCUGACCACCAGCGGCACGAUCGGCGCGCGGACCGCCGUGACGCUGG
Molecule: transfer RNA, 96 nt
Filed under: Plantactinospora mayteni
Lineage: Bacteria; Bacillati; Actinomycetota; Actinomycetes; Micromonosporales; Micromonosporaceae
Description: tRNA-Thr
Source: RNAcentral